This 484-nucleotide ribosomal RNA is filed under the name uncultured bacterium. Its description in RNAcentral is "partial 16S ribosomal RNA". It matches the Rfam family "Bacterial small subunit ribosomal RNA", at positions 29 to 507 of the family's 1533-position model. The record is from RNAcentral.
AUUGAACGCUGGCGGAAUGCUUUACACAUGCAAGUCGAGCGGCAGCACGGGGGCAACCCUGGUGGCGAGCGGCGAACGGGUGAGUAACACAUCGGAACAUGCCCAGUCGUGGGGGAUAACACUUCGAAAGAAGUGCUAAUACCGCAUACGUCCUGAGGGAGAAAGCGGGGGAUCGCAAGACCUCGCGCGAUUGGAGUGGCCGAUGUCAGAUUAGCUAGUUGGUGGGGUAAAGGCCUACCAAGGCAACGAUCUGUAGCUGGUCUGAGAGGAUGAUCAGCCACACUGGGACUGAGACACGGCCCAGACUCCUACGGGAGGCAGCAGAGGGGAAUUUUGGACAAUGGGGGCAACCCUGAUCCAGCCAUGCCGCGUGAGUGAAGAAGGCCUUCGGGUUGUAAAGCUCUUUCGGCAGGAACGAAACGGUGAGCUCUAACAUAGCUUGCUAAUGACGGUACCUGAAGAAGAAGCACCGGCUAACUACGUG